AUACGUAGGGGGCGAGCGUUGUCCGGAAUCAUUGGGCGUAAAGCGCGCGCAGGCGGUCCCUUAAGUCUGAUGUGAAAUCUUGCGGCUCAACCGCAAGAGGUCAUUGGAAACUGGGGGACUUGAGUGCAGGAGAGGGAAGCGGAAUUCCAUGUGUAGCGGUGAAAUGCGUAGAGAUAUGGAGGAACACCAGUGGCGAAGGCGGCUUCCUGGCCUGUAACUGACGCUCAGGCGCGAAAGCGUGGGGAGCAAACAGGAUUAGAUACCCUGGUAGUCCACGCCGUAAACGAUGAGUGCUAGGUGUUGGAGGGGUUUACCCUUCAGUGCUGGAGCUAACGCAUUAAGCACUCCGCCUGGGGAGUACGGCCGCAAGGCUGAA
Molecule: ribosomal RNA, 376 nt
Filed under: uncultured bacterium
Lineage: Bacteria
Description: bacterial SSU rRNA
Rfam family: Bacterial small subunit ribosomal RNA
Source: RNAcentral